This 433-nucleotide ribosomal RNA is filed under the name uncultured bacterium. RNAcentral describes it as "partial 16S ribosomal RNA". It matches the Rfam family "Bacterial small subunit ribosomal RNA", at positions 29 to 507 of the family's 1533-position model. The record is from RNAcentral.
AACGAACGCUGGCGGCAUGCCUAACACAUGCAAGUCGAACGAGACCUUCGGGUCUAGUGGCGCACGGGUGCGUAACGCGUGGGAACCUGCCCUUAGGUUCGGAAUAACUCCCCGAAAGGGGUGCUAAUACCGGAUAUUGUCUUCGGACCAAAGAUUUAUCGCCUUUGGAUGGGCCUGCGUUGGAUUAGUUAGUUGGUAGGGUAAAUGCCUACCAAGGCGACGAUCCAUAGCUGGUUUGAGAGGAUGAUCAGCCACACUGGGACUGGGACACGGCCCAGACUCCUACGGGAGGCAGCAGUGGGGAAUAUUGGACAAUGGGCGAAAGCCUGAUCCAGCAAUGCCGGGUGAGUGAUGAGGGCCUUAGGGUUGUAAAGCUCUUUUACCCGGGAUGAUAAUGACAGUACCGGGAGAAUAAGCUCCGGCUAACUCCGUG